Molecule: ribosomal RNA, 253 nt
Filed under: uncultured bacterium
Lineage: Bacteria
Description: partial 16S ribosomal RNA
Rfam family: Bacterial small subunit ribosomal RNA
Source: RNAcentral
UACGUAGGGAGCAAGCGUUAUCCGGAUUUAUUGGGUGUAAAGGGUGCGUAGACGGGAUUACGAGUUGGUUGUGAAACCCCUCAGCUCAACUGAGGAACUGCAACCAAAACUAUAAUUCUUGAGUGCAGGAGAGGAAAGUGGAAUUCCUAGUGUAGCGGUGAAAUGCGUAGAUAUUAGGAAGAACACCGGUGGCGAAGGCGACUUUCUGGACUGUAACUGACGUUGAGGCACGAAAGUGUGGGGAGCAAACAGG